ACUCAAAGGAAUAGACGGGGGCCCGCACAAGCGGCGGAGCAUGCGGAUUAAUUCGAUGCAACGCGAAGAACCUUACCUGGGUUUGACAUCACGGGAAAUCUCGCAGAGAUGCGGGGUCCUUUUAGGGCUCGUGACAGGUGGUGCAUGGCUGUCGUCAGCUCGUGUCGUGAGAUGUUGGGUUAAGUCCCGCAACGAGCGCAACCCUCGUUCGAUGUUGCCAGCGGUUCGGCCGGGGACUCAUCGAAGACUGCCGGGGUCAACUCGGAGGAAGGUGGGGAUGACGUCAAGUCAUCAUGCCCCUUAUGUCCAGGGCUUCACGCAUGCUACAAUGGCCGGUACAAAGGGCUGCGAUGCUGUAAGGCGGAGCGAAUCCCAAAAAGCCGGUCUCAGUUCGGAUCGGGGUCUGCAACUCGACCCCGUGAAGUCGGAGUCGCUAGUAAUCGCAGAUCAGCAAUGCUGCGGUGAAUACGUUCCCGGGCCUUGCACACACCGCCCGU
Molecule: ribosomal RNA, 497 nt
Filed under: uncultured bacterium
Lineage: Bacteria
Description: partial 16S ribosomal RNA
Rfam family: Bacterial small subunit ribosomal RNA
Source: RNAcentral